This 439-nucleotide ribosomal RNA is filed under the name uncultured bacterium. RNAcentral's name for it is "partial 16S ribosomal RNA". It matches the Rfam family "Bacterial small subunit ribosomal RNA", at positions 339 to 795 of the family's 1533-position model. The record is from RNAcentral.
CUACGGGCCGCUGCAGUGAGGAAUAUUGCACAAUGGGGGGAACCCUGAUGCAGCAACGCCGCGUGGAGGAUGACGCAUUUCGGUGUGUAAACUCCUUUUAUAUGUCAAGAAAAUGACGGUAGCAUAUGAAUAAGCACCGGCUAACUCCGUGCCAGCAGCCGCGGUAAUAAGGAGGGUGCAGGCGUUACUCGGAAUCACUGGGCGUAAAGGACGCGUAGGCGGGUUGGAAAGUCAGGUGUGAAAUCCUACAGCUUAACUGUAGAACUGCACUUGAAACUUCUAAUCUAGAGUAUGGGAGGGGGAGAUGGAAUUAGUGGUGUAGGGGUAAAAUCCGUAGAUAUCACUAGGAAUACCUAAAGCGAAGGCGAUCUCCUGGAACAUUACUGACGCUAAGGCGUGAAAGCGUGGGGAGCAAACAGGAUUAGAUACCCGCGUAGUC